AACGAACGCUGGCGGCAGGCUUAACACAUGCAAGUCGAACGGGUGUAGCAAUACAUCAGUGGCAGACGGGUGAGUAACACGUGGGAACCUUCCUAGGGGUACGGAACAACUCAGGGAAACUUGAGCUAAUACCGUAUACGUCCGUAAGGAGAAAGAUUCACCGCCCCUAGACGGGCCCGGCCGUCGGAGUUAGGUUAGGUUGGUUGGGGGUAAC
This 214-nucleotide ribosomal RNA is filed under the name uncultured bacterium. Its description in RNAcentral is "partial 16S ribosomal RNA". It matches the Rfam family "Bacterial small subunit ribosomal RNA", at positions 29 to 261 of the family's 1533-position model. The record is from RNAcentral.